RNAcentral lists this ribosomal RNA (913 nucleotides) under uncultured bacterium. RNAcentral's name for it is "bacterial SSU rRNA". It matches the Rfam family "Bacterial small subunit ribosomal RNA", at positions 8 to 916 of the family's 1533-position model. The record is from RNAcentral.
AGAGUUUGAUCAUGGCUCAGGACGAACGCUGGCGGCGUGCUUAACACAUGCAAGUCGAGCGGAAAGGCUCCUUCGGGGGUACUCGAGCGGCGAACGGGUGAGUAACACGUGAGUAAUCUGCCCUCCACUCUAGGAUAACGUUCAGAAAUGGGUGCUAAUACCGGAUGUACACAGGCUGACGCAUGUUGGUGUGUGGAAAGGUUUUUUCUGGUGGGGGAUGUGCUCGCGGCCUAUCAGCUUGUUGGUGGGGUAAUGGCCUACCAAGGCUUUGACGGGUAGCCGGCCUGAGAGGGUGACCGGCCACACUGGGACUGAGACACGGCCCAGACUCCUACGGGAGGCAGCAGUGGGGAAUAUUGGACAAUGGGCGGAAGCCUGAUCCAGCAACGCCGCGUGAGGGAUGACGGCCUUCGGGUUGUAAACCUCUUUCACCAUUGACGAAGCUGCAUCUUUUUGGGUGUGGUGACGGUAGGUGGGGAAGAAGCACCGGCCAACUACGUGCCAGCAGCCGCGGUAAUACGUAGGGUGCGAGCGUUGUCCGGAAUUAUUGGGCGUAAAGGGCUCGUAGGCGGUUUGUCGCGUCGGGAGUGAAAACCUUGGGCUUAACUCAGGGCUUGCUUUCGAUACGGGCAGACUAGAGGUAUGCAGGGGAGAACGGAAUUCCUGGUGUAGCGGUGAAAUGCGCAGAUAUCAGGAGGAACCACCGGUGGCGAAGGCGGUUCUCUGGGCAUGAUCUGACGCUGAGGAGCGAAAGUGUGGGGAGCGAACAGGAUUAGAUACCCUGGUAGUCCACACCGUAAACGUUGGGCGCUAGGUGUGGGAUCCAUUCCACGGGUUCCGUGCCGCAGCUAACGCAUUAAGCGCCCCGCCUGGGGAGUACGGCCGCAAGGCUAAAACUCAAAGGAAUUGACGG